AGGCAAGAUGGCGCUGAAGACGUGCACGGGGUGUUGAAUAAAUCUACAGAACUGUAUCCUCCAGGAUAGCAGCUACAUUUCUCCUGGUGGAAGAACGACAAAUUCUCGGAUUUCAAGAUACCCAUUCAAGUGCCGAGGAUACCAUGGUGCAACAUGCGAGAGAACUCUAAUGCGGCACAUUUCACGAGG
Molecule: long non-coding RNA, 189 nt
Organism: Amblyraja radiata (thorny skate)
Lineage: Eukaryota; Metazoa; Chordata; Chondrichthyes; Rajiformes; Rajidae
Exons: 2
Source: RefSeq, a predicted model, not a curated record